AACUUUCAACAACGGAUCUCUUGGUUCUGGCAUCGAUGAAGAACGCAGCGAAAUGCGAUAAGUAGUGUGAAUUGCAGAAUUCAGUGAAUCAUCGAAUCUUUGAACGCACAUUGCGCCCUCCGGUAUUCCGUUGGGCAUGCCUGUUCGAGCGUCAUUA
This 157-nucleotide ribosomal RNA is filed under the name Pleosporales sp. Its description in RNAcentral is "5.8S ribosomal RNA". It matches the Rfam family "5.8S ribosomal RNA". Rfam says of the family: 5.8S ribosomal RNA (5.8S rRNA) is a component of the large subunit of the eukaryotic ribosome. The record is from RNAcentral. Lineage: Eukaryota; Fungi; Ascomycota; Dothideomycetes; Pleosporales.